GUGGGGAAUCUUCCGCAAUGGACGAAAGUCUGACGGAGCAACGCCGCGUGAGUGAAGAAGGUUUUCGGAUCGUAAAGCUCUUUCGUUAGGGACGAACGUGCUCUUUGUGAAUAAUGAGGAGUAAUGACGGUACCUAAAUAAGAAGCCACGGCUAACUACGUGCCAGCAGCCGCGGUAAUACGUAGGUGGCAAGCGUUGUCCGGAAUUAUUGGGCGUAAAGCGCGCGCAGGCGGGAUAUCAAGUCUGUCUUAAAAGUGCGAGGCUCAACCUCGUGAGGGGACAGAAACUGGUAUUCUUGAGUGUCGGAGAGGAAAGUGGAAGUCCAAGUGUAGCGGUGAAAUGCGUAGAGAUUUGGAAGAACACCAGUGGCGAAGGCGACUUUCUGGACGAUGUCUGACGCUGAGGCGCGAAAGCUAGGGGAGCGAACGGGAUUAGAAACCCCAGUAGUCC
Molecule: ribosomal RNA, 450 nt
Filed under: uncultured bacterium
Lineage: Bacteria
Description: partial 16S ribosomal RNA
Rfam family: Bacterial small subunit ribosomal RNA
Source: RNAcentral